RNAcentral lists this ribosomal RNA (513 nucleotides) under uncultured bacterium. Its description in RNAcentral is "partial 16S ribosomal RNA". It matches the Rfam family "Bacterial small subunit ribosomal RNA", at positions 28 to 523 of the family's 1533-position model. The record is from RNAcentral.
GACGAACGCUGGCGGCAUGCCUAAUACAUGCAAGUCGAGCGAACAGAUGAAGUGCUUGCACUUCUGACGUUAGCGGCGAACGGGUGAGUAACACGUAAGGAAUCUACCUAUAAGCGGGGGAUAACAUUCGGAAACGGGUGCUAAUACCGCGUAAUAUCUUCUUCCGCAUGGAAGAAGAUUGAAAGACGGCUCUGCUGUCACUUAUAGAUGACCUUGCGGUGCAUUAGUUAGUUGGUGGGGUAAUGGCCUACCAAGACGAUGAUGCAUAGCCGAACUGAGAGGGUGAUCGGCCACAUUGGGACUGAGACACGGCCCAAACUCCUACGGGAGGCAGCAGUAGGGAAUCUUCCGCAAUGGGCGAAAGCCUGACGGAGCAAUGCCGCGUGAGUGAAGAAGGCCUUCGGGUCGUAAAACUCUGUUAUAAGAGAAGAACAAAUUGUAGAGUAACUGCUACAGUCUUGACGGUAUCUUAUCAGAAAGCCACGGCUAACUACGUGCCAGCAGCCGCCGUAA